AUUGAACGCUGGCGGCAUGCCUUACACAUGCAAGUCGAACGGCAGCACGGGGGCAACCCUGGUGGCGAGUGGCGAACGGGUGAGUAAUAUAUCGGAACGUACCCUGGAGUGGGGGAUAACGUAGCGAAAGUUACGCUAAUACCGCAUACGAUCUAAGGAUGAAAGUGGGGGAUCGCAAGACCUCAUGCUCCCGGAGCGGCCGAUAUCUGAUUAGCUAGUUGGUGGGGUAAAGGCCUACCAAGGCAUCGAUCAGUAGCUGGUCCGAGAGGACGACCAGCCACACUGGGACUGAGACACGGCCCAGACUCCUACGGGAGGCAGCAGUGGGGAAUUUUGGACAAUGGGGGGCAACCCUGAUCCAGCAAUGCCGCGUGAGUGAAGAAGGCCUCGGUUGUAAGACUCUUUGUUCAGGGAAGAAACGGUUA
This 425-nucleotide ribosomal RNA is filed under the name uncultured bacterium. RNAcentral's name for it is "bacterial SSU rRNA". It matches the Rfam family "Bacterial small subunit ribosomal RNA", at positions 30 to 456 of the family's 1533-position model. The record is from RNAcentral.